UUUAUUUGUUUAUUUGACAGGGACAAUACAUAUAGGCAAUGUUACAUAUACUUACAAUACAACCAAUGCAUUGUACUGUAUAUAGGGCUUCUAGCUGUGGCUAAUUUGCAGUCCUGGUUAGCCUGUUUAGGAAGAAAAACACUCUAAUACAGACAUAAAAACCAACAGUUUAACAGCAGUAAACAAGCAGCCACUACAGACAGUGAGUGUAACAUUCAGAAAUGAAAAAAAAAAUGUAAUAGCAUGUAACUCAGUGUUGUUUAAGAUAUAGUGUUGCCUUAUUAUUGAAAGCUUUGAGAUUAAACAUGUUGAAGGUAAUGCCCCAGUUGGACCUUGUAAGGACAGGUAGUCAAUGAAUAAAACAGUAAACGCAACGCGGCUGAAGCUCUUGGCAAGCCUCGAUUAUCACCACCACCACCCUGCUCCUGCCAAAAAGCCUCGUUUGGCAGCAAAGAAAAGAAGUUAAAGAGAUAGAGGCAGAACAAGAGUUGGCAUCGGAGGUGACCUCCUUUGUGCACUUUUAAGUGUGAUAUUAUAACAGCUUUAUUUUCUUCAUGAGGAAAAGUGGUGCGUGUCUGGGCUUCCACUCAUGCAUGAGGAUGAGAAGCUACAGCUAAGAGACGUGAGAGCGAAGCGGGAUCAUCUGACCUGUCAGUUGGCGGAGUCCAGCGGGUCGAGGGCACAAUCCGACCCCCCGCACUCCUGGCUGAUGACAGAGCUGUGAAUGAGGCUGCUGGACAGGGACUUAGGCC
This is a long non-coding RNA of Acanthopagrus latus (yellowfin seabream), 752 nucleotides long. RefSeq lists it as uncharacterized. Lineage: Eukaryota; Metazoa; Chordata; Actinopteri; Spariformes; Sparidae. The record is from RefSeq and is a predicted model, not a curated record. The transcript is spliced from 3 exons.